CAAUAGCGUAUAUUAAAGUUGUUGCAGUUAAAAAGCUCGUAGUUGGAUUUCUGGCAGGAGCGACCGGUCACACACUCUGUGUGUGAACUUGCGUUGUCUCUGGCCAUCCUUGGGAAGAUCCUGUUUGGCAUUAAGUUGUCGGGCAGGGGAUACCCAUCGUUUACUGUGAAAAAAUUAGAGUGUUUAAAGCAGGCUUAUGCCGUUGAAUAUAUUAGCAUGGAAUAAUAAGAUAGGACUUCGGAACUAUUUUGUUGGUUUGCGUUACGAAGUAAUGAUUAAUAGGGACAGUUGGGGGUAUUCGUAUUUCGUUGUCAGAGGUGAAAUUCUUGGAUUUCCGAAAGACGAACUACUGCGGAAGCAUUUACCAAGGAUGUUUUCAUUAA
Molecule: ribosomal RNA, 383 nt
Filed under: uncultured eukaryote
Lineage: Eukaryota
Description: partial 18S ribosomal RNA
Rfam family: Eukaryotic small subunit ribosomal RNA
Source: RNAcentral